AAUUUUUUGACUCAAUUAAGCAACUAGAUAUGUUAAAUUAUAUAGUGAUCAAACAAUAUUAUGUUUGUUUCAUGCCUAUUUGAGAAAAUAUAUGGCAAAAAUUCUUAAGAUUGUGUAUGUUAUGAUCCUAUCUCUUUUGCUAUGCUUUGUUGUAACUAAAGCAAGCAGUUAUGGUAAAGCUUGCAAAGAUGAUCGUGAUUGUCCAAAUACAGGAAAUCAUUGUAUUGCUCCUGACUAUAUGGGGUGCAUGUUCAACAAUUGUUACUGUGUGCGACGUGGACGUUGAAAUUGAUUCAAAACAAGCCCGUUAGAAUGAGAUACUGAGACCGUUGGAGACGCCGAGAGUUAAGAAGUCCUACCUCCCUUGAGAAGAGUGAUUUUCUUCGAUUAGGUUAGGAGAUCAAGAAUAAGUAGACAUAAUCUCUACAUUGCAUUUUAUGUCGGGAUUAUAUACUAUUUGCCCAGUUUUGGAUAUUUUAAUUAUUAAAUAUUUUUCAGUUGUAAGGAUAAUUUUUUGAGAUUUCAUAACAUUACUUCUUUCUAAUAAUUUAUUAUUUAUUACAGUA
Molecule: long non-coding RNA, 566 nt
Organism: Cicer arietinum (chickpea)
Lineage: Eukaryota; Viridiplantae; Streptophyta; Magnoliopsida; Fabales; Fabaceae
Source: RefSeq, a predicted model, not a curated record